CAGAUAUAGUUUAUAAAAUACUUGUUUUAGGCACAGGAGAUACUAUCUUUAGUUUUCUGA
RNAcentral lists this transfer RNA (60 nucleotides) under Ophiosteira antarctica. Its description in RNAcentral is "tRNA-Leu". The record is from RNAcentral. Lineage: Eukaryota; Metazoa; Echinodermata; Ophiuroidea; Amphilepidida; Ophiuridae.